Molecule: non-coding RNA, 484 nt
Filed under: Caenorhabditis japonica
Lineage: Eukaryota; Metazoa; Nematoda; Chromadorea; Rhabditida; Rhabditidae
Description: Eukaryotic small subunit ribosomal RNA
Rfam family: Eukaryotic small subunit ribosomal RNA
Source: Rfam by way of RNAcentral
UACCUGAUUGAUUCUGUCAGCGCGAUAUGCUCAAGUAAAAGAUUAAGCCAUGCAUGCUUUGAUUCAUAAAUGAAAUUGCGUACGGCUCAUUAGAGCAGAUAUCACCUUUCUCGGAAUCCUGAAAAGGAUAACUGCGGAAAUUCUGGAGCUAAUACAUGCGACUAUACUCCAACGCAAGGCGGGGUGCAAUUAUUAGAACAGACCAAACGUUUUCGGACGUUGUUUGUUGACUCUGAAUACCGUCGUUUACUGUCAGUUUCGACUGACUCUAUCCGAGAAGGGUGUCUGCCCUUUCAACUAGAUGGUAAUCUAUUGGACUACCAUGGUUGUUACGGGUAACGGAGAAUUAGGGUUCGACUCCGGAGAGGGAGCCUUAGAAACGGCUACCACGUCCAAGAAAGGCAGCAGCGCGAAACUUAUCCACUGUUGAGUAUGAGAUAGUGACUAAAAAUAUAAAGACUCAUCCUUUUGGAUGAGUAUUUCA